UACAGAGGGGGCAAGCGUUAUUCGGAAUUAUUGGGCGUAAAGGGCGCGUAGGCGGCCAUUCAAGUGACGGGUGAAAGCCCUCGGCUUAACCGAGGAACUGCCUGUCAGACUGGAUGGCUUGAGACCGGGAGAGGUGAGUGGAAUUCCCAGUGUAGCGGUGAAAUGCGUAGAUAUUGGGAGGAACACCAGUGGCGAAGGCGGCUCACUGGCCCGGUACUGACGCUGAGGUGCGAAAGCGUGGGGAGCAAACAGG
This 253-nucleotide ribosomal RNA is filed under the name uncultured bacterium. RNAcentral describes it as "partial 16S ribosomal RNA". It matches the Rfam family "Bacterial small subunit ribosomal RNA", at positions 524 to 776 of the family's 1533-position model. The record is from RNAcentral.